AUUGAACGCUGGCGGCAUGCCUUACACAUGCAAGUCGAACGGCAGCGCGGGGCAACCUGGCGGCGAGUGGCGAACGGGUGAGUAAUAUAUCGGAACAUACCCUAGAGUGGGGGAUAACGUAGCGAAAGUUACGCUAAUACCGCAUACGCACUAAGGUGGAAAGUGGGGGAUUCGCAAGAACCUCAUGCUCAUGGAGUGGCCGAUAUCUGAUUAGCUAGUUGGUGAGGUAAAGGCUCACCAAGGCGACGAUCAGUAGCUGGUUUGAGAGAACGACCAGCCACACUGGAACUGAGACACGGUCCAGACUCCUACGGAGGCAGCAGUGGGGAAUUUUUGGACAAUGGGGGCAACCCUGAUCCAGCAAUGCCGCGUGAGUGAAGAAGGCCUUCGGUUGUAAAGUUCUGUCGGCUGGACGAAAAAAUAGACGGUACCAGCAAAGGAAGCAUCGGCUAACUACGUGCCAGCAGCCGCGGUAA
Molecule: ribosomal RNA, 476 nt
Filed under: uncultured bacterium
Lineage: Bacteria
Description: bacterial SSU rRNA
Rfam family: Bacterial small subunit ribosomal RNA
Source: RNAcentral